RNAcentral lists this ribosomal RNA (713 nucleotides) under uncultured Actinomycetes bacterium. Its description in RNAcentral is "bacterial SSU rRNA". It matches the Rfam family "Bacterial small subunit ribosomal RNA", at positions 503 to 1247 of the family's 1533-position model. Lineage: Bacteria; Bacillati; Actinomycetota; Actinomycetes. The record is from RNAcentral.
AUGUGCCAGCAGCCGCGGUAAUACAUAGGGUGCAAGCGUUGUCCGGAAUUAUUGGGCGUAAAGAGCUCGUAGGUGGUUCGAUACGUCGGAUGUGAAAAUCGGGGGCUCAACCCCUGACCUGCAUCCGAUACGGUCGAGCUAGAGUUUGGUAGGGGAGACUGGAAUUCCUGGUGUAGCGGUGGAAUGCGCAGAUAUUAGGAGGAACACCGGUGGCGAANGCGCCACUCUGGACUGAAACUGACGCUGAGGAGCGAAAGCAUGGGUAGCAAACAGGAUUAGAUACCCUGGUAGUCCAUGCCGUAAACGUUGGGCACUAGGUGUGGGUUCCAAUCAACGGAAUCCGCGCCGUCGCUAACGCAUUAAGUGCCCCGCCUGGGGAGUACGGUCGCAAGACUAAAACUCAAAGGAAUUGACGGGGGCCCGCACAAGCAACCGGAGCCGUGUUGCUUAAUUCGAUGCUACGCGAAAACCUUACUGGGUUCGACAUGUUAGGAAAGCCACAGAGAUGUGGUGUCCUUCGGGCCUAACACAGGUGGUGCAUGGCUGUCCGUCACUCGUGUCGUGAGAUGUUGGUUAAGUCCGCACGAGCGCACCUUAUCAUGUUGCCGCAGUAUGUUGGGACUCAUUGAGACUGCGGGUUAACUCGAGGAGUGGGAUGACGUCAAGUCUCAUGCCCUAUGCUAGGCUGCAACGCUCAUGGCCGAUCAAGGUGC